UACGUAGGUCCCGAGCGUUAUCCGGAUUUAUUGGGUUUAAAGGGUGCGUAGGCGGACGCUUAAGUCAGCGGUAAAAUUGCGGGGCUCAACCUCGUCGAGCCGUUGAAACUGGGUGCCUUGAGUGGGCGAGAAGUACGCGGAAUGCGUGGUGUAGCGGUGAAAUGCAUGGAUAUCACGCAGAACUCCGAUUGCGAAGGCAGCGUACCGGCGCCCAACUGACGCUGAAGCACGAAGGCGUGGGUAUCGAACAGG
This 252-nucleotide ribosomal RNA is filed under the name uncultured bacterium. RNAcentral describes it as "partial 16S ribosomal RNA". It matches the Rfam family "Bacterial small subunit ribosomal RNA", at positions 524 to 776 of the family's 1533-position model. The record is from RNAcentral.